RNAcentral lists this transfer RNA (72 nucleotides) under Pangasius djambal. Its description in RNAcentral is "tRNA-Glu". It matches the Rfam family "tRNA". Rfam says of the family: Transfer RNA (tRNA) molecules are approximately 80 nucleotides in length. Lineage: Eukaryota; Metazoa; Chordata; Actinopteri; Siluriformes; Pangasiidae. The record is from RNAcentral.
UCCCUGGAGGACUAGUGGUUAGGCCUGAGCGCUCUCACUGCUGUGGCCCGGGUUCGAUCCCUGGCUAGGGAA